This 497-nucleotide ribosomal RNA is filed under the name uncultured bacterium. Its description in RNAcentral is "partial 16S ribosomal RNA". It matches the Rfam family "Bacterial small subunit ribosomal RNA", at positions 28 to 507 of the family's 1533-position model. The record is from RNAcentral.
GAUUAACGCUGGCGGCGUGCCUAAUACAUGCAAGUCGAGCGAACGGACGAGAAGCUUGCUUCUCUGAUGUUAGCGGCGGACGGGUGAGUAACACGUGGAUAACCUACCUAUAAGACUGGGAUAACUUCGGGAAACCGGAGCUAAUACCGGAUAAUAUUUUGAACCGCAUGGUUCAAAAGUGAAAGACGGUCUUGCUGUCACUUAUAGAUGGAUCCGCGCUGCAUUAGCUAGUUGGUAAGGUAACGGCUUACCAAGGCAACGAUGCAUAGCCGACCUGAGAGGGUGAUCGGCCACACUGGAACUGAGACACGGUCCAGACUCCUACGGGAGGCAGCAGUAGGGAAUCUUCCGCAAUGGGCGAAAGCCUGACGGAGCAACGCCGCGUGAGUGAUGAAGGUCUUCGGAUCGUAAAACUCUGUUAUUAGGGAAGAACAUAUGUGUAAGUAACUGUGCACAUCUUGACGGUACCUAAUCAGAGAGCCACGGCUAACUACGUG